RNAcentral lists this long non-coding RNA (882 nucleotides) under Homo sapiens (human). Its description in RNAcentral is "HSALNT0357853". Lineage: Eukaryota; Metazoa; Chordata; Mammalia; Primates; Hominidae. The record is from RNAcentral.
GCCUCAGUCUCCCGAGUAGCUGGGAUUACAGAUACACUGAAGAGAGGUCACAGGGAGAGAGACAGGAAACCAGCGAUGGACCCCAGUAGAAGGACAGGGUGGACGAUGCUUAGGAAGAUCAUGACGACUCUGCUUUCAUUUCCCACAUCCCUAUCCCGCCAGAGGUGAAAAUCAGAGAGGACUUAGUUGGAUGCAUUCUGGACACAAACGCUCUGAAGCUAAUAAAAUUCAAUAUAAUUGGCCCAUCCAAUUAUGUUAGAAUCUAAUAAAAUGUAGUUGUAUAUAUAUAUGACAACAGAAAUCAUCUAGACUGAGACGUCAUUAUUCCGUUUGUGAGAAAAACGAGGCUCCUGAGAUGUAAGGAUCCACCCAAACCACUCAGCAAGUUGGACACACCUGAGGCCUCAUUCCAGCACUGAGUUAAUUUUGUCAAAUCAACUGGUUUCUUGCUUUGAGCAAUUUAAAUAUAUAAAUGACUACAGUAUUGUCAAUAAGUACCAGGAAAACGCAAAAUCAUAAAGCUUAAAGAGAAAUAGAUUUGAGGAAAAUUUCCUGUUGGGAAAAUUGUAAUUAUUAAUAUACUUUAAGAAAAUUAGUUUUAUGGUUAAGAGGAUACUUUAUAAGAAUAAAAUUACUUAAAAGUCACAGUUCUGUGAAAGAUUCUGAUUCGUAACUGUUAAGACUUACUCAAAGUUAUAUUGUGGGGUAGUAAAUUAUUUGCCUGAAUUUAAAAAUUUUGAUGAAAAACCGGAAAAGGAGCAAACUUACAAAAACAAAACAACAAAUAUCAGGGAAAACUCAGGAAGCAUAAUUUGAGUUGACCUUGCCUUUGUACAGUACUGGUAUUUUGUUCCAGUGGGAUUUUAGGAAAAAAGUUUAAAA